RNAcentral lists this long non-coding RNA (5270 nucleotides) under Sus scrofa (pig). Its description in RNAcentral is "lncRNA (ENSSSCG00000052046.1)". The record is from RNAcentral. Lineage: Eukaryota; Metazoa; Chordata; Mammalia; Artiodactyla; Suidae.
AGAGAAGCCCCCCUGGAACCAGUGAUACCCCACAUUGGUCUGAAGAAGAGUACUUGGUUGCCUCUCCUGGCAUCAUGGGGAAAUGUCCAGCCUACAGGACAUCUCACCCUACACAUUAUCUGCUUCUCUUCUCUGAUUUACUGUUUUUCUGUUUUUCUCUUCUUUUCUGCACUGACUUUGCCCACCUGUCAGUACAUCUGGGAUCUGGUGAAAGGACCACAGGAAAUUCUUGCAGCAAACUGAAGGUUUCUAUUUCAGAUCCUUCCACCACCAUUAUUCCCACAAUCAUGACCACCUCCACCACUAGCCCCGCCACCAUCACUUCCACCAGCACAUCACUAUUACCUUCAUCACUGCCUCUCAACAUCUCCAUCAGCACCUCCUCCAUCAUGAGCACCACCUCCGAGACCAUCAGCAAAGUAUACAUGUGAGCCUUGCUUUAGUCUCCCUAUGACGUCUAAAAUCUGAACUGUAAAAUGAACAAAUAAAGGAGGGAUUAUUUGCUUUUCUAAAUUAUUCAAUCUAUAGCAAACUUAAAUAGUUAAUUUUCCCUAGUGUUUUUUUUUACAUGUGUGGGGUUUUUUAAAAAAAAACAUUUUAAUUUGGAGUUCCCAUCGUGGCUCAGUGGUUAACGAAUCUGACUAGGAACCAUGAGGUUGCGAGUUCGGUCCCUGGCCUUGCUCAGUGGGUUAAGGAUCCAGCAUUGCCAUGAGCUGUGGUGUAGGUUGCAGACGCGGCUCUGAUCCCGAGUAGCUGUGGCUGUGGUGUAGGCUGGCGGCUACAGCUCCAAUUGGACCCCUAGCCUGGGAACCUCCACAUGCCUCAGAAGCGGCCCUAUAAAAGGCAAAAAGACAAAGAAAAUAAAUUAAAAAUAAAUAAAAUUUUAAAAAAGCAUUUUAAUUGCCUAGAUCUCUUUAAGAAUAUACCUGUUUUGAGAAGUAAGUCAUUCAUAUCAGAGACAGGAUAUUCAUGCUGAGAAAGAAGGGAAAGUAUAAUAGGUUUGUAAGUUCUCUUUAUUUGCUAAAUUAUUAAGAAGCGUUUUAUAGCAUGUACAAAUGUAUUAAACAUUAAGCAGUUUUAGCUACUUGGCCAUAAAUCAGUGACUGUAAAGGCAGAAGUCAAUUCUAUCAAUAGUAGUCCUACACAUAAGUCGUAUACUUAUGUAUAAAUAUAUAAUACUUAUAUGAACAUGUACGCUAUAUGUUUAUAUACUGAUAGUUUAUGUGUAUAUUUUAUAAUAUAUUUAUCAUGUUUGUAUAAAUAAAUAUAUAACAUAUAUAUGUGAUCGAUAUAUAUUAUUAUUAUAAAUAUCCUUCUCUAAUUGUGAAAUUUGGGUUACAGACUGAAGGAGGCUAUAAAAAUGUUUACAAAUUCCUCUCAUUCUUAUAUGCACCUCCCAUGUGACUUCACUCCUCUUCUUGUCAAGAAGGAGCGUCUAUGUCUCCUUGACUUAUCCUAUGCUUCUUGACUUUUGACUUGGGCUUGGCCGUGUGAAUUCUUUGGCUAACGAGAUAGUCUUAGCAAAUGUGAUGCAAGCCGAGGCUUGAAAAAUGCAUGCACUUUGGGGUUUGUCCUUUUGCUGAUCUGGGAACUGUGCUACCGAAGCCAUGUGAUCUAAUCCGGGCAGGCCUGCUGGAGGAUAACAGAUCGUGUGGCACAGAGAUAAGCGAGUCCAGUUUAGGCCCUGCUGCACCAGUCAGCUUGCCAAUCACAAGAUAUGUGAGAGACCACCCAGACCAUCCAACCCCGCUAAGCAGGCCAAAGCCAGAGCAGUCACCCAGCUGAAAGACCAGAGACCCAUGAGAAAUGAUAAAAGGUUUAUUCUUUUAAGUCACAAAGUUUGUGGUGUUUUGUUGCACAGCAAAAGCUAACUGACACAAGGACACACGUCUUACUAUCUUACUGAGUUUCGUUUUCCUCCGUUCCUUCUACCCACUCCAAAUAACUUGAGUAAAACAUUUGGUUUAUUGGAGACACAGUUGCCACAAACAUAUGAUCUUUCAUUUUCUUCCAAUUCUAAAAGCUCAUAUUCUCUCAUAUUAUGAAGCUUUCUUUCUCAGUUAUGAUUUUUACAGAAGAAAGGUGCUGGAGAAUAAAGGUAGUAAAAGUGGGACAUGAGGUUAAGAGGGAGAAGGGAGCUGGAGAUGUGAAAUAAGGUGCUGCCAAUGGAAUGCUGAGGCCAAAAAUAGAGGUUGGUACAGCUUAUUAAAUGUUGACUAACUUCCUGGGAGAAGUUUGCUCUGUUAAAUCAGAAUUGCUAUGAAACUCCCUGGCAUUGACCCAAGAUGUCCCUAUAUUAAAACUGCAAAACGUACGAUCUAGAAUUCCCUUAUGUUCCAUUCCUUAGUUCCUCUCAAUCUUUUUCACUAUCCUAAAUAUGGCUUUCUAUUUUCAUAGUUAGAAUUUUAUUUUAUUUUAUUUUAUUUUUUGGCUAUUACAGAAGCCCAAUGUGAUCGAAAAAAAUCCAGCUCAUCCUCAAGCUGCAGGCAAGGUUGAAUCCAGUUGCUCCAGUGAUGUCCUCAGAGAACUGUCCUUCCAUCUCUGUCUUUAGGUUCUGCCUUCCUAAGUUCUAGCCUCCCUGUAUCCCUCAAUCCCUGACCUAUUUUGUGGGUCCCACAGUUGAGUGGUGACAAUGGUUUAUUGGUGACCAAGCCCUCCUCCUGUUACUCCAAUUAUGUUAAAGGCACUAAGAUCCAUCCAAUUUCCCAAGUCAAAAACUUGGAACUUAUCCCAGACCUCUCCAUUAGCCUCCACAUCUAAUAGAUCAUAAAGCCGAGUCAUUUCCAUCCCAUCUGUGUCUUUGAAAUUAGUUUUCCCUCUCCAUGGCCAAUGCCGUUGUCUUUGUCAUGCAUUGUUAUUCCUGUCAUGGAAGAAGAACAUUUCUCCCUAACCAGUCUUUGCUUUACUUCCUGCAAGCCAUCCUCUCUGCCUGGAGUAAUCUAUGAAAAAUGUAAAUCUGAGUCCUCCUUAAAAUGUUUGGUUACUUGGGAGUUCCCAUUGUGGCUCAGUGGUUAACGACUCUGACUAGGAACCAUGAGGUUGUGGGUUCCAUCCCUGGCCUCGCUCAAUGGGUUAAGGAUCUGGCAUUGCCGUGAGCUGUAGUGUGGGUCGCAGACACAGCUCGGGUCUGGCGUUGCUGUGUAAGCCAGUGGCUACAGCUCCAUUCGACCCCUAGCCUGGGAACCUCCAUAUGCUGAGGGAGCAGCCCUAGAAAAGACAAAAAAAAAAAAAAGUUUGGUUACUUGUAUAAGCUGCUCCAUAAAUGGAGGGUACCAACGUGAUCCCAUCUGGUGAUUGUUCUAGUGGAUCACUUGAACCUCAGCUGCCCUGUUAGCAGAGAGCCUCCGUUUCUUAAGUUGAGUUCUCCAGAAACCAAGCCAGAGCUGGGGAUAUAUGUUGUUAUUUUAGGGGUUUCAUUGCUUCCUCGACACUGGGCUGUUGCUGACCUCACUCUCAUCCAUCCUGUUUGGCCCAAAUAUAAAUCUUUUCUUGGGAGACUGAGGAUUGGUGUCUUUCUUCCCAAGAUGCCAGGGGCUCUCAUGUAAAAUGCUGUGUACCUACUACCAAGCUCUGCCUACCUGGGAUCUCAGAAAGGGGCCUGGAUCCCAGUCACAAAGGAUUCUUUUAUGUCAGAGGUCAAACACUCAAAUACUUCCAGGAGGCAGAAGCCUGACAGACAGAGCAGCCACCACUCAGCAACAAUCAACUGCUACCAAGCAGAAUUUGGCACUCACAGGCCCCAUUUCUUUGGAGUUCUUUCAGGAGAAGCCCCAAAUCCUGAUUUUUAUGUGAAAUAUUCUGAUUUUAAACUGUUAGCCUGAUUUUUUAAAAGAGCAGGCAAAACAUAAUUUGUCUGGGACCUUAUCUGACCCAGGGGCUAUCAAUUUGUAAAUCCCAGAACAAUAAAUGACCACUUACCCCAUAUAUGCAUAACUAUGGGGCUUCUGCAAGGAGCUGGGACUGGACUACAGCUCAGCUGGGAACCCGCUACAAAAGGUUACAGGACUUCAAGACAGUUUAACCUCCUUUAGCCUGGCCAGUGCUGCCUCCCAGACCUGCCCUCCUCCUAGGCCUCUGGGCACACUGUCAUACCUUAGGCCCUCUGGCUUCAUUGGGCUGUCAGUUAUCCGCCUUCCUUCAAGAUUUGGCUCAAACACCCCCUUCCUCUGGUAGCCUUUCUUUCGCUGAUCUCUGCCUUCUUUCAGCUUACCCCAUGGUUUAGAGCAGUUACCCCACUGCCCUAAUGUUUUCUUUACAGGCCUGUGGCCCCACCUGGCUGAACUUCUAGAGGGUAGGACCCUGAGUUCACUCAUUGCUGUAUCUCUACAGCCUCAUAGAGCACCUGGCACUUUAAAUGCAGAUUGGAGGAAUGGGCCUCCAGUUUGAAAAAUAAUGACCUUUGCCUCUCCCAUGGCAGAAAUGCAUUUGCGAAGAACUGGUAUUUUAAUUUUGAGAAAAUAAGUUGGGAAACUUGGUGUUUAAGAGAAGGGGAAACACAACAUUGUAAGACAACUAUACUCCAAUACAUUUUUUUUUUUAAGAGAGUGAGAGGAGGGGAGCGGGGUGUGACCUCUGCCUACUGUCAUUUUUUAAAUGACCCUGCAUUUGUGAAAUACAGAUGGAAAGAAUAAGUUUUUAUACUCCUUAGCUUUGGCCAUAGCUGAGACAUCUAAGAAUUCUAGAACAAGAGAAUGGCUAAACUGAUCCGUUUUUCUUUUCUUCCUGACCUCAAAGGUCCCCAGGGCUCUUACAGUCGGGGAUGCUUGCCACCAACUCAGAAUGAAACAGAGUCGAAGGCUUUUCAAAGGAGAGCAAGCAACCACCACCCCAAAGACCCUUUGCAUAGAGUUGUAAACCGUAGCGUUGCAAACUGAAACUCCAGAGGCAAACCCUACACGGUUACCUUUUCUCGACAAGGUUGCUCGGCCUUGUCAAUCAUUUUCUGCUUUCUCUCCCUCCCAGAUGCGCGCACACAUAUACACGAGUUGCCGUGGACCGCUGCCUUGACUGUGAGCCUCUCUCCUACCUGAAGUGGAGCACCUCAGGAAGCAGCGAGGUUGGCGUCUCAUUCAUAAUACAUGAACUCUGGGGGAGGAGGGAGGCAGGGACAAGAGCCUUUCAUCUCUGCUAUUUAAAAAUCCCAGCCUUGCAGCUGAAAGGGAAAAUGACCUGGGAGUGAACGCAACUGGGAUGAAGAAUCCACGAUAACGGGACCAGAGCGCGCGUCAGCGGCCAGCCCGCUGGCUAUUUAUACCGCGCAGAUUAUGCAA